AUGGAGUCUUGCUCUGUUGCCCAGGUUGGAGUAGAGUGGCGCGAUCUCCGCUGACUGCAAGCUCCACCUCCUGGAUUCACACCAUUCUCCUGCCUCAGCCUCCCAAGUAGCUGGGAAUACAGGACCUUCCUUCAACUUCAAAGUUUUUCAUCUCCUCUGUACACAUGAUGCUUCCGGAUUCUGAAGACUUAACUGUGCAAACCAACAAUGCCCAUUAUUGUCUCGGGAGUUUUGCGUAGACCUGAAGUGACAAAGGGGAGUAACUUCAGACAAAUCAACAGAAUGUAAUUACAGGUUAAUGAGUGCCAUCCCAAACCUACAAAUCAGAACCUCUGGAGGAGAGGCCUGGGAAUGCAUUUUGACAAACUCCUUAGAAGAUUCUCUGUCACCUGAAGUUUGAGGACCACCGCUGUAGAAGUAUACCUCAUUCAUCUACUUAAAUCAGACUGAGUCUUUUCUUAAGCUGAAUUCAGAUACAUAUCUUUCUGCCCAUUUUUUGCUUUUAUUAUUAUUUUUCAUUGACACAAUAAUUGCACAUAUUAAUGGAGUUCAGUGUAAUAUUUCAAUACAUGUAUACAAUGUGUAAUGAUCAAAUCAGGCAAAUUACCAUAUUCAUCAUCUUAAACACCUGUCAUUCCUUUGUGUUGGGAACAUUCAAAAUCUGCUCUUCUAGGUAUUUAAAAAUAUACAGUUAAUUAUUAUUAAUUAUAUUCGCUACAGAACACUAGCGCUACAGCGCUAUAGAACACUAGAACUUAUUCCUUCUAUAUAGCUAUAAUUGCUUUCUGUUAACCAACCUCUGGCUAUGUGCCCCACGCCCCUUCCCUAGUAACCACAAUUCUACUCUCUACUUCUCUGAAAUCAACUUUUUUAGCUCCCACGUAUGAGUGAGAACAUGCGGUACUUGUCUUUCUGUGCCUGGCUUAUUUCACUUAACAUAAUGUCCCCCAAGCACAUCCAUGUUGCCAGAUACAUUUUUAUAAACCGAUUUGUGUUGCCUAGCUUCAGGCUGUGAACCUCUCAAGUGAGUAGUCAUAGAAGCCAUCUCCUUUCAUUUUUUAACUUAUUUGUGUCAGGCAAGAUGGAAAAAAGAGGAAAAAUCGGGCUUCUUAAUCAGAUGUUAUAAAAACAGUGUACCAUUCCUUUAUACACAAAAGUAAAAAGCAAAUUCAAGAAAUUAGUUUGCAUUGGCACUUCUUGGGUGCUUUAAAUCACUUGACAAUGGGAAUAGAACAUCAGUGAGCUGGUAUCUGCUAUAAUUACACCUACUGUUGCAUGUUAUUUCUUCUUCCAUGGAACACAUGGCAACUUUCCAGAAACUUUGUUCUGUUAUUAUACUGUAAUAUUCUUCAAUGCAGGGGGAAAGAGUAUUUUUGAAUUUUUUCCCUUUCCUUUGAAAUUAUUUCCCAUGCCUUUCAUGGACCUUGGUAAUGUUCCAAAACUUUUCUAAUCAAUAUAACAUUGUAAGCUGUCAGAAUGGAUUUUCUUCGCUAGAAUUUAUAUGGCACUACACAUUUAAUAUCUGUGCUACAUAAAUCGUUUUUUGGCAUUAUUUUCUUGUUUCUUCAGAGUCUUUUUUUUCAGACCUGUUGAAUUAUCUCCAAUUUUAAAGGCUUUAUUAAAGUAGCUCUAGAGUUCCAUUUCCGGAAACACUGAACAGCAAAAUCUUCUUGACAAUUUGCUAUCAUGUUACUUAGAGACUGAGACUCAUUCCAUUUGCAAAGUGCCUAAAAAGAGGGUAUUAGACAUUUGAGGAGGAUGAACUGCUUUGAUCAAACUGGUUAGUACAUUCAGUCAUAUAACCAGUGAAUUCUGGUAGCAAGCUUGAUGAUUGGGGAAUUGUUUUUUGUUCCUUUAGUAUAUUGAGUGGCUGCCUUCAUGAAUUUACGAAAACACUGGGGUUUUUUUUUUGGUUGCUUGUUUUUUGUUAUUGCCUCAUUGUAGUCCAUAACCAUAAAAAUAACCUCUUAUUGAACACAAAAAUGAAGCUUAACAUUGAACAGUAAUGGCAACUCAAUAAUAAAGCAAAUUAAAAUGGAAAAAAUCUACUCUGAUAUGUACCAAAUAAAAUAUUAUUCUUUAUAUAAUGU
Long non-coding RNA from Pan troglodytes (chimpanzee), 2090 nucleotides. RefSeq lists it as uncharacterized. The record is from RefSeq and is a predicted model, not a curated record. NCBI's taxonomy places the organism in Eukaryota, Metazoa, Chordata, Mammalia, Primates, Hominidae. The transcript has 4 exons.